Molecule: ribosomal RNA, 303 nt
Filed under: uncultured fungus
Lineage: Eukaryota; Fungi
Description: eukaryotic LSU rRNA
Rfam family: 5.8S ribosomal RNA (bases 1-52)
Source: RNAcentral
AACGCACCUUGCGCUCCUUGGUAUUCCGAGGAGCAUGCCUGUUUGAGUGUCAUUAAAUUCUCAACCUUCCCAGCUUUUACCGGCCGGAGGAGGAUUGGAUUGUGGGGGUUGCGGGCCUCGAUUUAGAGGUCGGCUCUCCUUAAACGCAUUAGCGGAACGUCUCGCGGGACCGUCACUUGGUGUGAUAAUUAUCUACGCCUCAUGACUGCGAUCGCCUCUGGUUCAGCUUCUAACCGUCCGUUCGCUCGGACAGCUUUUUGACAAUUUGACCUCAAAUCAGGUAGGACUACCCGCUGAACUUAA